UCGAAACCGCAUGGUUUUGAUUUGAAAGGCGCUUUCGGGUGUCGCUGAUGGAUGGACCCGCGGUGCAUUAGCUAGUUGGUGAGGUAACGGCUCACCAAGGCCACGAUGCAUAGCCGACCUGAGAGGGUGAUCGGCCACAUUGGGACUGAGACACGGCCCAAACUCCUACGGGAGGCAGCAGUAGGGAAUCUUCGGCAAUGGACGAAAGUCUGACCGAGCAACGCCGCGUGAGUGAAGAAGGUUUUCGGAUCGUAAAACUCUGUUGUUAGAGAAGAACAAGGAUGAGAGUAACUGUUCAUCCCUUGACGGUAUCUAACCAGAAAGCCACGGCUAACUACGUGCCAGCAGCCGCGGUAAUACGUAGGUGGCAAGCGUUGUCCGGAUUUAUUGGGCGUAAAGCGAGCGCAGGCGGUUUCUUAAGUCUGAUGUGAAAGCCCCCGGCUCAACCGGGGAGGGUCAUUGGAAACUGGGAGACUUGAGUGCAGAAGAGGAGAGUGGAAUUCCAUGUGUAGCGGUGAAAUGCGUAGAUAUAUGGAGGAACACCAGUGGCGAAGGCGGCUCUCUGGUCUGUAACUGACGCUGAGGCUCGAAAGCGUGGGGAGCAAACAGGAUUAGAUACCCUGGUAGUCCACGCCGUAAACGAUGAGUGCUAAGUGUUGGAGGGUUUCCGCCCUUCAGUGCUGCAGCUAACGCAUUAAGCACUCCGCCUGGGGAGUACGACCGCAAGGUUGAAACUCAAAGGAAUUGACGGGGGCCCGCACAAGCGGUGGAGCAUGUGGUUUAAUUCGAAGCAACGCGAAGAACCUUACCAGGUCUUGACAUCCUUUGACCACUCUAGAGAUAGAGCUUCCCCUUCGGGGGCAAAGUGACAGGUGGUGCAUGGUUGUCGUCAGCUCGUGUCGUGAGAUGUUGGGUUAAGUCCCGCAACGAGCGCAACCCUUAUUGUUAGUUGCCAUCAUUCAGUUGGGCACUCUAGCAAGACUGCCGGUGACAAACCGGAGGAAGGUGGGGAUGACGUCAAAUCAUCAUGCCCCUUAUGACCUGGGCUACACACGUGCU
Molecule: ribosomal RNA, 1059 nt
Filed under: Enterococcus faecium
Lineage: Bacteria; Bacillati; Bacillota; Bacilli; Lactobacillales; Enterococcaceae
Description: bacterial SSU rRNA
Rfam family: Bacterial small subunit ribosomal RNA
Source: RNAcentral